AUUAACAUUAAAAUAUAUUAAAUUAAAAUGCACCACCUGACGACACAUAGCAAAAACAGUAGAGAUAAAUCGUCAGUUGGAAGAUCAAAAGAUUAUGCUAUUGGUCUGUGGUCGUGGUAUGAAUCUACUUCACAUGUUCAAACAUGCAUGGAUUUGUCUGUGUGAAUUCAAGACUUGCCAGACUUUGCACAGGCUGUACCACAGACUAAUUUUUCAGACGAUGAUUCAUUUACACACAACAACAAACAUUCCGGUUUGUCUAUGCAAACACACGCUGCACAGACAAACCAGUGUAAAUGUCUGAGCGUGUAAAGCCGGCCUUAAGGUGACCAUUAUUCUUGGAAAAUCCAGGAAUAAUGGUCACCCUAAGUCAGUGGUUCCCAAUGUGGGGCACACACUUCACAAGGGGGCAAUUUGAUUUUUAAGGAGGGAAAUUCAAGAAUGAGUUAUUAAAAGUGAAUUUUGUG
This 467-nucleotide long non-coding RNA is filed under the name Androctonus crassicauda. The record is from RNAcentral. Lineage: Eukaryota; Metazoa; Arthropoda; Arachnida; Scorpiones; Buthidae.